AGCUGAUAAACUAAUAAAUUAGGCUUAUAUUUCGGCUAUAAAUUUUGUGGCUAUGGGCCUCUAUUAGCUU
This 70-nucleotide transfer RNA is filed under the name Euryhaliotrema johni. Its description in RNAcentral is "tRNA-Arg". The record is from RNAcentral. Lineage: Eukaryota; Metazoa; Platyhelminthes; Monogenea; Dactylogyridea; Ancyrocephalidae.